This is a non-coding RNA of Clostridium sp. CAG:242, 164 nucleotides long. The record is from Rfam. Lineage: Bacteria; Bacillati; Bacillota; Clostridia; Eubacteriales; Clostridiaceae.
AAAAAAGCUGUCAUGAUUCCAUAGACAGCAGGUGCAAAUGCAAAAAGCAUUGCUUAAAGUUAGCCUGCCGAGGAAACGAUGAUAAGGAUAUUUUAUGACUUUUCAUCCGCUCUUUUCUGCCUCGGUGGUCUCCACUGGGAGAAAGGAGCUUUUUUAGUUUUCGG